CUGGCGGCGUGCCUAAUACAUGCAAGUCGAGCGGACAGAUGGGAGCUUGCUCCCUGAUGUUAGCGGCGGACGGGUGAGUAACACGUGGGUAACCUGCCUGUAAGACUGGGAUAACUCCGGGAAACCGGGGCUAAUACCGGAUGCUUGUUUGAACCGCAUGGUUCAAACAUAAAAGGUGGCUUCGGCUACCACUUACAGAUGGACCCGCGGCGCAUUAGCUAGUUGGUGAGGUAACGGCUCACCAAGGCGACGAUGCGUAGCCGACCUGAGAGGGUGAUCGGCCACACUGGGACUGAGACACGGCCCAGACUCCUACGGGAGGCAGCAGUAGGGAAUCUUCCGCAAUGGACGAAAGUCUGACGGAGCAACGCCGCGUGAGUGAUGAAGGUUUUCGGAUCGUAAAGCUCUGUUGUUAGGGAAGAACAAGUGCCGUUCAAAUAGGGCGGCACCUUGACGGUACCUAACCAGAAAGCCACGGCUAACUACGUGCCAGCAGCCGCGGUAAUACGUAGGUGGCAAGCGUUGUCCGGAUUAUUGGGCGUAAGGGCUCGCAGGCGGUU
Molecule: ribosomal RNA, 560 nt
Filed under: Bacillus sp. Ni45
Lineage: Bacteria; Bacillati; Bacillota; Bacilli; Caryophanales; Bacillaceae
Description: bacterial SSU rRNA
Rfam family: Bacterial small subunit ribosomal RNA
Source: RNAcentral